GACGAACGCUGGCGGCGUGCCUAAUACAUGCAAGUCGAACGCAGUGGGGACGGGUGAGUAACCCGUGGGUAACCUCCCAUCAGAGGGGAUAACACUUGGAAACAGGUGCUAAACCGAUACUGAUGGAUGAACCCGCGGUGCAUUAGCUAGUUGGUGAGGUAACGGCUCACCAAGGCCACGAUGCAUCGCAGACCGGAGAGGGUGAUGGGCCACACUGGGACUGAGAAACGGCCCAGACUCCUACGGGAGGCAGCAGGAGGGAAUCUUAGGAAAGGGACGAAAGUCUGACCGAGCAACGCCGCGGGAGGGAAGAAGGUUUGCGUAUCGUAAAACUCUGUUGUUAGGGAAGCGGUAUCUAACCAGAAAGCCACGGCUAACUACGUGCCAGCAGCCGCGGUAAUAC
This 403-nucleotide ribosomal RNA is filed under the name uncultured bacterium. RNAcentral's name for it is "partial 16S ribosomal RNA". It matches the Rfam family "Bacterial small subunit ribosomal RNA", at positions 28 to 526 of the family's 1533-position model. The record is from RNAcentral.